RNAcentral lists this ribosomal RNA (395 nucleotides) under uncultured bacterium. RNAcentral describes it as "partial 16S ribosomal RNA". It matches the Rfam family "Bacterial small subunit ribosomal RNA", at positions 523 to 918 of the family's 1533-position model. The record is from RNAcentral.
AUACGUAGGGUGCAAGCGUUAAUCGGAAUUACUGGGCGUAAAGCGUGCGCAGGCGGUUUUGUAAGACAGUGGUGAAAUCCCCGGGCUCAACCUGGGAACUGCCAUUGUGACUGCAAGGCUGGAGUGCGGCAGAGGGGGACUGAAUUCCGCGUGUAGCAGUGAAAUGCGUAGAUAUGCGGAGGAACACCGAUGGCGAAGGCAAUCCCCUGGGCCUGCACUGACGCUCAUGCACGAAAGCGUGGGGAGCAAACAGGAUUAGAUACCCUGGUAGUCCACGCCCUAAACGAUGUCAACUGGUUGUUGGGUCUUCAUUGACUCAGUAACGAAGCUAACGCGUGAAGUUGACCGCCUGGGGAGUACGGCCGCAAGGUUGAAACUCAAAUGAAUUGACGGGG